Acanthosepion pharaonis is the source of this 114-nucleotide non-coding RNA. NCBI's taxonomy places the organism in Eukaryota, Metazoa, Mollusca, Cephalopoda, Sepiida, Sepiidae. The record is from the annotation of a GenBank genome assembly.
UUACGGCCACAUCACGUUGCAAUACCGUUUCCCGUACGAUCACCGAAGUUAAGCAACGUCAAGCCUGGUUCGUAGCUAGAUGGGUAAUCGCUUGGAAAUAGCAAGUGCUGUAAG